Molecule: ribosomal RNA, 83 nt
Filed under: Streptomyces sp. NRRL B-1568
Lineage: Bacteria; Bacillati; Actinomycetota; Actinomycetes; Kitasatosporales; Streptomycetaceae
Description: partial 23S ribosomal RNA
Rfam family: Bacterial large subunit ribosomal RNA
Source: RNAcentral
ACUGGGUUGAUAGGCCAGGUGUGGAAGACCGGUAACGGUUGGAGCUGACUGGUACUAAUAGGCCGAGGGCUUGUCCUCAGUUG